RNAcentral lists this ribosomal RNA (253 nucleotides) under uncultured bacterium. RNAcentral describes it as "partial 16S ribosomal RNA". It matches the Rfam family "Bacterial small subunit ribosomal RNA", at positions 524 to 776 of the family's 1533-position model. The record is from RNAcentral.
UACGUAGGGUGCGAGCGUUAAUCGGAAUUACUGGGCGUAAAGCGUGCGCAGGCGGCUUUGCAAGGCAGAUGUGAAAUCCCCGGGCUCAACCUGGGAACUGCAUUUGUGACUGCAAGGCUAGAGUACGGCAGAGGGGGAUGGAAUUCCGCGUGUAGCAGUGAAAUGCGUAGAUAUGCGGAGGAACACCAAUGGCGAAGGCAAUCCCCUGGGCCUGUACUGACGCUCAUGCACGAAAGCGUGGGGAGGAAACAGG